RNAcentral lists this long non-coding RNA (2622 nucleotides) under Monodelphis domestica (gray short-tailed opossum). Its description in RNAcentral is "lncRNA (ENSMODG00000046433.1)". Lineage: Eukaryota; Metazoa; Chordata; Mammalia; Didelphimorphia; Didelphidae. The record is from RNAcentral.
CAUCCAAUUUAUGCCAUGGUAAUCGAUCAUCUAACCAGACCUCAGGUUAAGAAGCCCCACUUACUUCAGCCUGACAGGCCCACAUUCUAUUCUAGACCUCUCUUUACUUUGGGCAAAUAGCUUCCCUCUCCUGGAUUUAAACAGACAGGCUACCCCCAGAAGUUCUUUCAGUGAUUCAGGGAGCAAGGCCCAGGUGAAGAACAUUUACCCAGGCAGGCCUGGUACCUUGUUUGCAAUUAUCUAUCCUAGAGACGUGCCUCAGGGUCCACAACCAUUAUGUGAUCUUGAACCAAGGCCUUCCUGAUGAAUGUCAAUUCUCUACACUACCAGAUGCCUCCUCUCUGUUAAUACCUGACAUUUCUGUUAUGUAUUCAUGGUUUUGCAAAGGCCUCUACUUACCUUUGAUACCACUACCCCAUGAGCCUGCUCAUGCCCUGCCCUCUGGAUGGCUUAAAACUUAGGUCUUCUGAACAGCAUGGCUGGAAGAAUAGUGAUGUUGAAGAGGUAUACAAUUGGGGGAAGGCAAGGAGAAGACUCCCUACUCAGUGCCUGGAGGAGGGGACACUGUGCCCUGGGGAUGACUGCCCCAGAAGGUGAGCCAGGAAAUGCUUGAGCCAUCCCUGAGGGGUGGCUGGGGAAAGUCUCACUUGGCCUGGUGGCUGGGCUGAUCAUCAGGGAACCCAGGAGGGCGCUAGGUUCUGGCUCACUGGCUUUGUAAAUGUGAGAGGGCCAUCCCAUACUUCAGUCCUUCAUUUGCCUCGUCCAUAAAAUGGGAAAAAUACCUCACCAAAAGAGCGUACUCGUGCGAAACUUAGUUUCCCAGUCUUUGCUCCUGGAGUCUAGUGAUGCCUGGCAGUCAGAGGGGACCUCAGAAUUUAGAACCUUAUGAGAACAUUAUCAGAAGGAGCCUUAGAAAACAGGCCCAACAAAUCAAGAAUUAAUAGGUAAAUGGGCAACUGGGUAGCUCAGUGGAUAGAGAACCAGGCCUAGAGACAGGAGGUCCUGGGUUCAAAUAUGACCUCUUUGGCCUUAGACACUUCCCAGCUGUGUGACCCUGGGCAAGUCACUUAACCCCCAUUGCCUAGCUCUUGCUGCUCUUCUGCCUUGGAGCCAAUACACAGUAUUGACUCCAAAACAGAAGGUAAGAGUUUAAAAAAAUAAUAAUUAAUAGAUAACUAGCUGUAUGACCCUGGGCAAGUCACUUCAUCCGAAUUGCCUAGCACUUCCUGUUCUUCUGCCUUGGUACUGAUCCUUAGUAUCAAUUCUGAGACUGAAGGUAAGUUUUUUAAAAAAAAAAAAAGAUUCAACAGGUAUAAUGGCCCUGGACACAUUGUGGUCACUCUAACAGAGGCCAUUUAGUCCAGGCCCCUCAUUCUACAGAUUCUUUCAUUCAUGCAUGUAACAAUCAUUAGGUAUCUUCACAGUGGCAGGCUCUAUGCUAAAAAGUGAGGAUAUGAAGACCAAAGAGUUCCUAUUAACCCUCUCAAAGCAAACCGAGGGAAAAAAAGGAAGAAUGCAGGCAUGGAGGACAGAACCCUGGGCUAGAAGUCAGGUAGACCUGAGUUCUUGUCCUGGCUAGCCUCUACCUGUUUAAUUCCUAACCAUCCUUUAAAAUCUAAUUAAAAUACUGCCUCCUCUAAGCAGCCCGCUUGUCGGUCUCUCCAGCGGGUAAAACCCUGCUUUGCAUGUAUCUCCAUAUGCACAAAGCUAUCCAAAGUCGAGACCCCACCCCCUCUGCUACCGAACUGCAUGUGGCAUGCGUGUGUGAUAUAAUCAUUAAUAUGAUUUACAUGGCAGCACUCUUCUAUGCUUACUUGAUUGACAUCGAGCUUUGCUCUUGCCCGAAGUACUAAAUAUAAUGUCACACAACUGCAAAUUUGAGUAAGAGAGUCGCGCCUGUGUGCGCUCUAGGAGGAUAGUGGCUGGUCCAGCACUCUGAGUACUUCUGGGCAGAAGCACAGCCGCGUCUUCUCAUCCGGUGCAUGGCACAGAGUCACAUCCAUCAUAUACCCGAAGUCCAUUAGAGCCAGAAGGAAUAUCAGGUCAUUUAGUCCAGGCCCCUCACUUCAGAGAUUCUAAAAAGUGAGGAUACAAAGACCAAAGAUCCCCCGCCCUCAUGGAGCUUGAAUUCUAUCACACAAAAACAAUGUAUUGAAGAAAGGGGUACACACAAAAAUAUUUACAGAGUAAUUUUUGGGUGGCAGGCCAAUAAUUUUGGGGUGGGAGGGUGUAAUCAGGGCAGGAUUCCUAGAAGAGGUAGCAUUUGAACUGGGAUCUAGAAGAAGUGAGAGAUUUUAAGAAUCAGAGGUGAAGAAUAAGUAUACUCAAAGCAUGAGGGUCACUAUGCAAAGAUAGAUAAUAUAUAGAUGAGAGGAGGGAAGAAACAUUUAUUGAAUGCCUAUUGUGUGCCAGGCCCUUUAUAGAUAUUAUCUUGGGUGCACAGUAGAUAGAGUGCCAGACCUGGAGUCAGGAGGAUUUGGGUUCAAAUUUGGCCUCAGACACUUCCUAGCUGUAUGUCCCUGGGAAAGUCACUUAACCCCUGAUUGCUUAGCCCUAGCUGUACUUCUGUCUUAAAACUGAUACUAAAAUAAAAGAUAAUGGUUUAAAAAUAUAUAUAUAUAG